This 244-nucleotide ribosomal RNA is filed under the name uncultured bacterium. RNAcentral describes it as "partial 16S ribosomal RNA". It matches the Rfam family "Bacterial small subunit ribosomal RNA", at positions 533 to 776 of the family's 1533-position model. The record is from RNAcentral.
GGCUAGCGUUGCUCGGAAUCACUGGGCGUAAAGCGCACGUAGGCGGGUUGCUAAGUCAGGGGUGAAAUCCUGGAGCUCAACUCCAGAACUGCCCUUGAUACUGGCGGCCUUGAGUCCGGGAGAGGUGAGUGGAGCUGCGAGUGUAGAGGUGAAAUUCGUAGAUAUCGAGAGGAACACCAGUGGCGAAGGCGAGUCUCUGGACGACUCCUGACACUGAGGCACGAAAGCUGGGGGAGCAAACAGG